AACGAACGCUGGCGGCAUGCCUAACACAUGCAAGUCGAACGAGACCUUCGGGCCUAGUGGCGCACGGGUGCGUAACGCGUGGGAACCUGCCCUUAGGUUCGGAAUAACUCCCCGAAAGGGGUGCUAAUACCGGAUAAUGUCUUCGGACCAAUGAUUUAUCGCCUUUGGAUGGGCCCGCGUUGGAUUAGCUUGUUGGUAGGGUAAAAGCCUACCAAGGCGACGAUCCAUAGCUGGUCUGAGAGGAUGAUCAGCCACACUGGGACUGAGACACGGCCCAGACUCCUACGGGAGGCAGCAGUGGGGAAUAUUGGACAAUGGGCGAAAGCCUGAUCCAGCAAUGCCGCGUGAGUGAUGAAGGCCUUAGGGUUGUAAAGCUCUUUUACCCGGGAUGAUAAUGACAGUACCGGGAGAAUAAGCACCGGCUAACUCCGUG
This 433-nucleotide ribosomal RNA is filed under the name uncultured bacterium. RNAcentral describes it as "partial 16S ribosomal RNA". It matches the Rfam family "Bacterial small subunit ribosomal RNA", at positions 29 to 507 of the family's 1533-position model. The record is from RNAcentral.